GUCUAGGGUAGCCUAGUGGACAUGGCAUCUGCCCGGUAAGCGGAACACAGUGGGUUCGAUUCCCAUCCCUGGACA
This 75-nucleotide transfer RNA is filed under the name Cordylochernes scorpioides. RNAcentral describes it as "tRNA-Thr". It matches the Rfam family "tRNA". Rfam says of the family: Transfer RNA (tRNA) molecules are approximately 80 nucleotides in length. Lineage: Eukaryota; Metazoa; Arthropoda; Arachnida; Pseudoscorpiones; Chernetidae. The record is from RNAcentral.